RNAcentral lists this small nucleolar RNA (97 nucleotides) under Ancylostoma duodenale. RNAcentral's name for it is "Small nucleolar RNA sn2524". It matches the Rfam family "Small nucleolar RNA sn2524". Lineage: Eukaryota; Metazoa; Nematoda; Chromadorea; Rhabditida; Ancylostomatidae. The record is from Rfam by way of RNAcentral.
UCUCAAAACUCACUCAGAACUUGAGUUGUUGUUUUCUUCCUUCUUCAUUUGACCUAGGAAUGCAUCUACAUAGUCUUCUCCUUCCCCUUCAAUAACA